This is a long non-coding RNA of Triticum aestivum (bread wheat), 2447 nucleotides long. RefSeq lists it as uncharacterized. The transcript has 2 exons. The record is from RefSeq and is a predicted model, not a curated record. Lineage: Eukaryota; Viridiplantae; Streptophyta; Magnoliopsida; Poales; Poaceae.
CUGGCGACGUAUUAUUAGCCCCUCCAUGAUAAGCCAUCCUUUGGCAUAUGUCGCAUGACACCCCCGACAAUGACUUUGUCUUAUUCCACACAAUGAAGUCUUCCAGUAAAUUACCAUUAAGUGGGAUCAUUAGUAUUCUCUCAACAUCAAUGGGCCUAAAAACAUCCCUGAUUAGAUACUCAUCCCACCUUCCCAUCAUAGGGUUUAUGAGUUCAUCAACUGUUUUGAGAAUGAUUUGACCUCUUGGGGUGAGAACCUUUCUUGUAGGACUGUUGGGGAUCCAAUCCUCCCAGAUGUUGAUUUUUGUACCAGAUCCUACCCUCCAUACAUGCCCCCUUUUAGAAACCUGCAAACCAUCAACAAUGCUCUACCAAGUGAAAGAGGAACCCUUUUUUGGGCCUGUUUUCAGUAAGUUCCCAUCUGAAAAGUAUUUUGUGCGUAGAACACACACCCAUAAAGAAUCUGGAUUACUAAUCAAGCGCCAACUUUGCUUAGCUAGCAUGGCUAGGUUAAAAGCAUGCAGGUCUCGAAAGCCCAUGCCUCCCAACUUCUUUGGGACGCAUAAUCUCCACCAUGCUGCCCAAGGCAUGCACUUUUGCUCUUCAGUAUCACUCCACCAGUAUCCGGCCAACACAUUGUUCAUCUCCAUAGCUUCUUCAGGUGUUUGUUUGAUAGUCUGUCUGUAAGUUUGAUAUAUAUGGUUACCUCCACCAUGGAGGCGGUGAGGAUGCCACCAGAAUUAUGAGGUAUGAUGAAACAAAAUUUUCCUACACGACUCUAACAAAGAUUCUAGCACCGGAAAAUCAUUUAGGAAAGAUUUCAGCCAAGUUUCCCAAAUAUUUGCACAUAAAUAAUAUGUUGCAACAAGAAAUCUGAGAUAUACAAACAUACCAUGUGAGACAUUCAAGCAUUAAGAUUAUCAAGUUUUUUUUUUGAGAUUAUCAAGUUUUGUUUUUGAGAAAAAAGGCCAAUGCUUUUUUUCAGGCAUUUUUUUUCUGGGCCAGUGCUUAUAGUUCCUAAUAAUAACCAAUGUUCAAACAAAUUCGGCCCAAAAGGCCACUGGACAAUCCCAUGCCCAAGCUCACCAAAGCCCACACCGGGUCUGUAUAAUCCCAAACCCUAUAAUACGCAGCAAUCCAGCAACUGACCCCGCCCCCGCCCCUCGCUGCGCCGCCACUUCUCCUCCGGCCGCAACCGCCGUGGCCUCCACGACGAGCUCGUCUAGUGAUGAGGUAUUGAUGCAUGAUGCAACACUUGAUCCAAGGGUGGCUAAACUGUCCAUAUGAUGUCAUCUUUGCAUCUGAAUCCACCAGUGAUAAUUUUGCUGCUGUUGAUUUGGUCAGUAUCAAUGGAUUCCUGUGAAUGAGAAGGCAUUUAUAUUCUGAUGAUAGAGCUUGUUUUCCAAAUUAGAUCCAGAAUGCAAUUGAAUCCUAUGAUGAUUAGCUUUUAUGUUGGAAUUACCGUCAGAUUCCAAAUGACGAUAUAUUUGCGGCUUUCUGAGGUUUAAUACUGCUUGGGUCUUUUACUUCUCAUAUUGUAAGCAACAGCUGCUUCUUCUCUGCAAGUGUCCUCAUAACUGUUGUUAAUUGGUCUGGCUGGAAUCCCCAUUUAAACGCCGUUUGGUUCAGCUGGUGUUUCUGGUUUCUUUCUCUUUAAUCUUUGAUUACUCUGUUUUUUCCUGCAAGUACCUAAUUGUCUGUAUGUAAAUGGGACUGUUGCCAUGUCUCUGUUAGCUAUGAACAUUUGCCAUGCCUUCUGUGUUCCUGUGAUAGUCAAUUUUAUUCAAUCAACCGGGGAAAUGGUAUGGCAGUGAUGACAAAUUUAAGGCUGCUUGUUUCUUCGCUGCUUGUUUGAUUGUAUUGGCUUGUUUCUCAAACAUUCGCAGUUGCUGCCUGGGUUUUGGCCCUGCCAGGUUUUAUUCUCUGAAGCUGAAAUCAUCCAUUCUUAAUCCUUUUAUGUGCUUCAUUUAGAUGUUGAUUUUUUUUGAAGUCUUAAUAUGUGAUUUGAAGGUCUUUAGUGAUUGAAAAGCAAUGGUGGAGCAUGGAAGCCCCCUCAACAAUGUUGAACAAGUGUUCAUUGCUGCCUGAAUGUACGGAAAUGGACAGAGCACGAAUAUGGUGGUUGGUCUACCGCUUGAUAACAGGCAGAUAAUAGUGUACAUGCUUGCUAGAAAACUUUGAUCCGGCAUCCUAGAUAUUACGGCUUUUGCUUUUGUGUUGCAUGGUUGGGUGAUGGUACUCAUGGAAGCAUUGCUAGCUUGCCUAUGCUUGUGCUUUGUAUGCUGUUGCUGUUUUCUGUAGAUGAACUGUGGUGCGUUGCAUGAUGACUGCCUCUGAGGGUUGGUAGAUAUAAUUUUUUAUUAUGAUUGAGGUCCUUUGUAUUUUUUAUGAACAAAAGAAGAAUGUUUGUAUGCUGUUUGGCUCAUCAUAUUGGUCCUGGAUCUGCAA